AUGUAUAAGUACAAGAUGAAUGGAAACGAGAUGUUAAAAAAGGAAAGAAAAAAGGAUGACCAGGCAUGUUUUCCCUAUCUAUAUAUGGGUAUGUCGAAGAGAAAACCCAGUCAGCGCCGCAGCUUGGUGUGGCGCAGCAAAGCACUAUAUCAACAGCGGGUAUCCGAGAUAACCGAAAAACUUGUCAAACCCUUGUUCUUCUCACCGGUCCGAGUCAGCUUGAGCACCAAUCUGCAUGCCCAAAACUUGAAUCCCCUUAGCACUGUCCCAUCAGCCAUCAAACUCUUUACCCUCAUGAUCCAAAGCGGCUUUGCUUGUGCAUCAAGAUUAUGA
RNAcentral lists this ribosomal RNA (333 nucleotides) under Triticum aestivum (bread wheat). RNAcentral's name for it is "partial small subunit ribosomal RNA". The record is from RNAcentral. Lineage: Eukaryota; Viridiplantae; Streptophyta; Magnoliopsida; Poales; Poaceae.